CACCUUGAAGUAACCCUCUAUAAACAUGCGUUUAUGCAGCUGCUCUACAGUUUUUGCCAUAUUGUACCCCUAAAUAAAUAUUUACAGAACUUUGCCUUCACCAGAAAUUACUGCCUAGCCCAGGCUGAUGUUCUGUAGCCAUGGAAACCAAGAAUUCCAAAAUCUUGUGAUGUCAUCGCCUCAUUGUUAUAAGAAAUUUAAAGAUCAUAGUUCUAACACACAGCUCAUUGCAUCUUUGAAGAGUGAAGAGUGAACUCCUGAAACUAAAUUAACCUAAAUUAAUCACACAAUGUCAAAGUCUUGGCCAACUUAUACUGCACCACGUCUUGUGGAUCUGAAUAACCCUCUAGGACACCAAACAGAGCCUUGCAUCUCCACACUGGUGAAGAUGACUCCAGAUGGAAGAAUAGAGGGAAGAAAGAGAAGGGACUUAACUGAAAGAGUGGACAAAUCCCCGAAAAAAAGCAAAAGCAGUGGAAGUCCAAAACCGGGUCCCAGCCACAUUGUUUCUGGGGAAUCCAGUUGGAAAUUUGGCCUUCUCAUAGUCCCUUCAAGCGACUCUAGUAUAUUUAAGAUGAGCAACAAACGGAAGAGCACUAGUGGCGAAUCUGAGGGACCAUC
Molecule: long non-coding RNA, 621 nt
Organism: Oreochromis aureus
Lineage: Eukaryota; Metazoa; Chordata; Actinopteri; Cichliformes; Cichlidae
Exons: 3
Source: RefSeq, a predicted model, not a curated record